AGAGACCCACGCUUGAGGAACCUGGUUCGAGCCUCAGGCCAGUACCUGAAAGGAGGAAGCUUCACAAGUGGUGGAACAAUACUGCACGAGUCUCUUUUUCUCCCUGUGUCUUGCUAAUCUGUCUUACCUUUGCUUUGUACUUUCUCUGAUGCAGAUCUGGGUAGAGCCAUUUCCUGUCUGAAACCCAGAGUUGGGAAGGGAACGGGAAGGGUAUCACAACAUGGAAGCUUCUCCCUGUGUGGUGAGAGCUGGGGUCAAGCCUGGGUCACGAUCAGAGCUGAGCAGGUACCAUCACGUGAGCUAGCUUCUCAUUCCUCAUUUGCUUAUUUAUUUGUGAGACUUGCUUA
This is a long non-coding RNA of Erinaceus europaeus (western European hedgehog), 347 nucleotides long. RefSeq lists it as uncharacterized. The transcript has 3 exons. The record is from RefSeq and is a predicted model, not a curated record. NCBI's taxonomy places the organism in Eukaryota, Metazoa, Chordata, Mammalia, Eulipotyphla, Erinaceidae.